AUACGUAGGGGGCGAGCGUUGUCCGGAAUGAUUGGGCGUAAAGGGCGCGUAGGCGGCGCGGUAAGUCUGGAGUGAAAGUCCUGCUUUCAAGGUGGGAAUUGCUUUGGAUACUGCCGCGCUUGAGUGUCGGAGAGGUUAUCGGAAUUCCCGGUGUAGCGGUGAAAUGCGUAGAGAUCGGGAGGAACACCAGUGGCGAAGGCGGGUAACUGGACUGCAACUGACGCUGAGGCGCGAAAGUGUGGGGAGCAAACAGGAUUAGAUACCCUGGUAGUCCACACUGUAAACGAUGAAUGCUAGGUGUAAGAGGUAUCGACCCCUUUUGUGCCGGAGUCAACACAAUAAGCAUUCCGCCUGGGGAGUACGGCCGCAAGGUUGAAACUCAAAGGAAUUGACGGGG
This 397-nucleotide ribosomal RNA is filed under the name uncultured bacterium. RNAcentral describes it as "partial 16S ribosomal RNA". It matches the Rfam family "Bacterial small subunit ribosomal RNA", at positions 523 to 918 of the family's 1533-position model. The record is from RNAcentral.